AAGGUAGCGAAAUUCCUUGUCGGGUAAGUUCCGACCCGCACGAAAGGCGUAACGAUUUGGGCACUGUCUCAACGAGAGACUCGGUGAAAUCAUAGUACCUGUGAAGAUGCAGGUUACCCGCGACAGGACGGAAAGACCCCGUGGAGCUUUACUGUAGCCUGAUAUUGAAAUUCGGCACAGCUUGUACAGGAUAGGUAGGAGCCUUUGAAACGUGAGCGCUAGCUUACGUGGAGGCGCUGGUGGGAUACUACCCUAGCUGUGUUGGCUUUCUAACCCGCACCACUUAUCGUGGUGGGAGACAGUGUCAGGCGGGCAGUUUGACUGGGGCGGUCGCCUCCUAAAAGGUAACGGAGGCGCUCAAAGGUUCCCUCAGAAUGGUUGGAAAUCAUUCAUAGAGUGUAAAGGCAUAAGGGAGCUUGACUGCGAGACCUACAAGUCGAGCAGGGUCGAAAGACGGACUUAGUGAUCCGGUGGUUCCGCAUGGAAGGGCCAUCGCUCAACGGAUAAAAGCUACCCCGGGGAUAACAGGCUUAUCUCCCCCAAGAGUUCACAUCGACGGGGAGGUUUGGCACCUCGAUGUCGGCUCAUCGCAUCCUGGGGCUGUAGUCGGUCCCAAGGGUUGGGCUGUUCGCCCAUUAAAGCGGUACGCGAGCUGGGUUCAGAACGUCGUGAGACAGUUCGGUCCCUAUCCGUCGUGGGCGUAGGAAAUUUGAGAGGAGCUGUCCUUAGUACGAGAGGACCGGGAUGGACAUACCUCUGGUGUACCAGUUGUCGUGCCAACGGCAUAGCUGGGUAGCUAUGUGUGGACGGGAUAAGUGCUGAAAGCAUCUAAGCAUGAAGCCCCCCUCAAGAUGAGAUUUCCCAACUUCGGUUAUAAGAUCCCUCAAAGAUGAUGAGGUUAAUAGG
This 906-nucleotide ribosomal RNA is filed under the name Staphylococcus aureus. RNAcentral describes it as "partial 23S ribosomal RNA". It matches the Rfam family "Bacterial large subunit ribosomal RNA", at positions 1953 to 2860 of the family's 2925-position model. The record is from RNAcentral. Lineage: Bacteria; Bacillati; Bacillota; Bacilli; Caryophanales; Staphylococcaceae.